This 400-nucleotide ribosomal RNA is filed under the name uncultured bacterium. RNAcentral describes it as "bacterial SSU rRNA". It matches the Rfam family "Bacterial small subunit ribosomal RNA", at positions 356 to 772 of the family's 1533-position model. The record is from RNAcentral.
AAGGAAUUUUCGGCAAUGGGCGCAAGCCUGACCGAGCAACGCCGCGUGCGGGAUGACGGCCUUCGGGUUGUAAACCGCUUUUCUAGGGGAAGAAUCAGACGGUACCCUGGGAAUCAGCCCCGGCUAACUCUGUGCCAGCAGCCGCGGUAAUACAGAGGGGGCAAGCGUUGUCCGGAUUGACUGGGCGUAAAGCGCACGUAGGUGGUUGGGUACGUGGUGUGUGAAAGCUCAGGGCUUAACCCUGAUAGGCCAUGCCAAACGACCCGACUUGAGGCUGAGCAGAGGCGGGUGGAAUUGCCGGUGUAGUGGUGAAAUGCGUAGAGAUCGGCAGGAACACCAAGGGGGAACCCAGCCCGCUGGGCCAGUCCUGACACUGAGGUGCGACAGCGUGGGGAGCGAA